ACUGGCGGUGGUGGAGGGGAUGAGUAGACUGGUGGUGGCGGUGGAGGAGGUGGCGGAGGAGGAGAAUAGACUGGUGGUGGCGGCGGAGGUGGAGGUGGAGGAGGGGGAGAGUAGACUGGUGGCGGCGGAGGUGGAGGUGGAGGAGGGGGAGAGUAGACUGGUGGUGGUGGAGGCGGAGGUGGAGGUGGAGGUGGAGAAUAAACUGGUGGUGGUGGAGGAGGCGGCGGCGGUGGUGGUGGAGGUGGAGAGUAGACUGGUGGAGGAGGCGGCGGCGGAGGAGGAGAGUAGACUGGUGGUGGAGGAGGCGGCGGUGGUGGUGGUGGGGGAGGAGAGUAGACAGGGGGCGGCGGUGGAGGAGAGUAUACAGGAGGUGACGGCGGAGGAUAGUAGACAGGAGGUGACGGCGGAGGAGAGUAGACAGUUGGAGGUAAUGGCGGCGAUGGCGGAGGCGGCGGCGGUAACGCUACAAUAGGAGGAGACUGUUUAACAGAACGACCACAACCAAAAGAUCCACAAUCCACCGGCGGGCGUGACAAGAAAGCUGAACAUUGCCGUGAAGAUCUCUGAGCAGGUC
RNAcentral lists this long non-coding RNA (574 nucleotides) under Arabidopsis lyrata. RNAcentral describes it as "long non-coding RNA (ALYR_LNC002409)". The record is from RNAcentral. Lineage: Eukaryota; Viridiplantae; Streptophyta; Magnoliopsida; Brassicales; Brassicaceae.